CGUAGCUAUGUAUGCUUUCACUAUAAAUCCUUCAAGCCGUGCUUUAUUGCGCACAUACUUUUUUAGAGUAUACAAGAAUCUGCAAAUAAAAAUAAAUUUAAAUUUUAGAAAUACAUUUAUAUCUUAUAACUGAUAUGAUAAAGUACGUAUAAUUUCUUUAUCUUUCAAUAGGAUACAUCCACCGAUAAUGUAUCGAUCCGAUCAAAAGAGCUUUCUUUGAAACAUUAAUAGCCAGAUGCACCAUAACAUCAAAAAAUGAUGGUGAAAUUUUUUUUUCUAAUUUACAAAGAAUGAGCAUGA
This 300-nucleotide long non-coding RNA is filed under the name Elaeis guineensis (African oil palm). RNAcentral describes it as "long non-coding RNA (EGUI_LNC041464)". The record is from RNAcentral. Lineage: Eukaryota; Viridiplantae; Streptophyta; Magnoliopsida; Arecales; Arecaceae.